Molecule: ribosomal RNA, 253 nt
Filed under: uncultured bacterium
Lineage: Bacteria
Description: partial 16S ribosomal RNA
Rfam family: Bacterial small subunit ribosomal RNA
Source: RNAcentral
UACGUAGGCAGCGAGCGUUGUUCGGAUUUACUGGGCGUAAAGCGUGCGUAGGCGGUUUUGUAAGUUUGGUGUGAAAUCUCCCGGCUCAACUGGGAGGGUGCGCCGAAAACUGCAAGGCUGGAGUAUGGGAGAGGUAGGCGGAAUUCCUGGUGUAGCGGUGAAAUGCGUAGAUAUCAGGAGGAACACCGGUGGCGAAGGCGGCUACCUGGACAGAGUCUGACGCUGAGGCACGAAAGCUAGGGGAGCAAACAGG